Long non-coding RNA from Homo sapiens (human), 268 nucleotides. RefSeq lists it as uncharacterized. The record is from RefSeq and is a predicted model, not a curated record. The transcript has 2 exons. Lineage: Eukaryota; Metazoa; Chordata; Mammalia; Primates; Hominidae.
UCGCCAUGUUGCCGAGGCUGUUCUCAAACUCCUGACCUCAGGAAGUGGGGUUGAGAAGGUGUAACAGCACCCCAGACUGACCACAGCGGCCACGACUGCACACAGGGGAACUUUGCCUCGCUCGACACUACAGGGUGAAAGAAACACAGAAGUUGUCAAGGAACGUGGCCCCUCUUCCUCUCUCAUCUCUCCAGGUGUCUUGUUUCUUUGCUUUAGUCCAGGGGUUUCACUUGCUGAAUAAACUGCCUUGAAAUGUCCAAGUCAUAAA